Molecule: ribosomal RNA, 253 nt
Filed under: uncultured bacterium
Lineage: Bacteria
Description: partial 16S ribosomal RNA
Rfam family: Bacterial small subunit ribosomal RNA
Source: RNAcentral
UACGUAGGGUCCGAGCGUUGUCCGGAAUUACUGGGCGUAAAGGGCUCGUAGGCGGCCAACUAAGUCAGACGUGAAAUCCCCAGGCUUAACCUGGGAACUGCGUCUGAUACUGGAUGGCUUGAAUUCGGGAGAGGGAUGCAGAAUUCCAGGUGUAGCGGUGAAAUGCGUAGAUAUCUGGAGGAAUACCGGUGGCGAAGGCGGCAUCCUGGACCGACAUUGACGCUGAUGAGCGAAAGCUAGGGGAGCAAACGGG